Molecule: ribosomal RNA, 274 nt
Filed under: uncultured bacterium
Lineage: Bacteria
Description: partial 16S ribosomal RNA
Rfam family: Bacterial small subunit ribosomal RNA
Source: RNAcentral
AUAUGGAGGGUGCAAGCGUUAAUCGGAAUUACUGGGCGUAAAGCGCGCGUAGGCGGAUUGUUAAGUCUCAUGUGAAAGCCCUGGGCUCAACCUGGGAACUGCAUGGGAUACUGGCAAUCUAGAAUACAGUAGAGGGUAGUGGAAUUUCAGGUGUAGCGGUGAAAUGCGUAGAGAUCUGAAGGAACAUCAGUGGCGAAGGCGACUACCUGGACUGAUAUUGACGCUGAGGUGCGAAAGCGUGGGGAGCAAACGGGAUUAGAUACCCCUGUAGUCC